CCUACGGGGGGCUGCAGUGGGGAAUAUUGCACAAUGGGCGCAAGCCUGAUGCAGCCAUGCCGCGUGUGUGAAGAAGGCCUUCGGGUUGUAAAGCACUUUCAGCGGGGAGGAAGGCGGUGAGGUUAAUAACCUCAUCGAUUGACGUUACCCGCAGAAGAAGCACCGGCUAACUCCGUGCCAGCAGCCGCGGUAAUACGGAGGGUGCAAGCGUUAAUCGGAAUUACUGGGCGUAAAGCGCACGCAGGCGGUCUGUCAAGUCGGAUGUGAAAUCCCCGGGCUCAACCUGGGAACUGCAUUCGAAACUGGCAGGCUAGAGUCUUGUAGAGGGGGGUAGAAUUCCAGGUGUAGCGGUGAAAUGCGUAGAGAUCCGGAGGAAUACCGGUGGCGAAGGCGGCCCCCUGGACAAAGACUGACGCUCAGGUGCGAAAGCGUGGGGAGCAAACAGGAUUAGAUACCCGUGUAGUC
Molecule: ribosomal RNA, 465 nt
Filed under: uncultured Klebsiella sp.
Lineage: Bacteria; Pseudomonadati; Pseudomonadota; Gammaproteobacteria; Enterobacterales; Enterobacteriaceae
Description: bacterial SSU rRNA
Rfam family: Bacterial small subunit ribosomal RNA
Source: RNAcentral